CUGGCGUUGACGCACUUGCCUGAGUCCUCGCUGGUCUGCUCUAGGCGGCUGUGCACGUCGUUGGUGUGCAGGAUGGAAUGCUGAGCUGGUGGUGGACCAGGCAAGGGCACCAUGGGAGCUGACAGAGGAGCACCGACCCUGCCUGGAUGGGUCAGAGGAAGCCCCGUGGAAGACAUAAUGCCCACACUGAGCGCUGGAGAACUGGGCUGGUGACUAGUCCUGGUGACAAAAGCAUUCACCACUGCGUCCGCUGCUGCAAGCAUCCUCAGUGAUACCGUCCUCCGUAAAGCAGAUCGGUCCUGCGGUCCUGAAGAGGUGAUGUGUGACCAUUAACAGUUGCUGCUAUGGAUUCCAUAAUUGCUGAAGUCCCUGGAUGAGGCAGGUGCGGUCUAUGAACUCAGAAUGAGUUCUUUUCAGAAUGCAGGCGGGACUUUCCUUGCAACAAAAGUGGGACUCCUACGUGAGGAGUAAAUCUCCACCCAAUGACGGCAGUGGCCAGCCAGCUGAGGCCUGAAUGACAGACUUUCAACAUCAGACUCAACUUCAGGAAAGCACAAGUCCUGGAGACAUCAGGAGAGUAAGGAGCUUCCUUGGGCUUCCAAAUGGUGCUCCAAUGAGAUGAACUGCAGGCACCCAUAGUGCGGCACAAAAAAAAAAAAAAAAAAAAAUCUUGGAAAACAACCUGAGAGAAGAGUAAAAUCCUGAGAUGUCUACUUUUUAAUGGAUGCAGGAUGCCACAUUCCAUUUAUAGUCAUUUUGUUACCAUGACUUCUUGGGCUGCUCUCGGCUGUGGCAACUUUACAGACUUUCCCUGUUUUGAUGGCUUUGGCAGUUUCGAGGAAUACUGACCACUUAUGGACGCAUUCUUCGGAAGGCACAUGUGACCUGGACCAUGUGUGGAGCUCAAGGCUUUUGCUGGGUCUGCUGAGAACGAGCUGUGACCCUUAGAGCUCUUGGCAUCCAUCCUGUACUCAUGAGGGAGAAUCUGUCAAAGCAAAAGCCAGGAUGGAGAAAGGAGGGCAGAGAAACAGAGAAGGAGAAAUCACAUCGCGAUGACAUCAUUUGAGCCCCUGGAUUAAGCGUUGCCUCAAACCAGCCCUACCCUUGAAUAUUUUAUGAGCCAAGAAAUAAAUCAUUUUG
Camelus dromedarius (Arabian camel) is the source of this 1140-nucleotide long non-coding RNA. RefSeq lists it as uncharacterized. The record is from RefSeq and is a predicted model, not a curated record. NCBI's taxonomy places the organism in Eukaryota, Metazoa, Chordata, Mammalia, Artiodactyla, Camelidae. The transcript is spliced from 7 exons.